CAUUAAGAAUUAAGUAUAAUAAUUUUGUGUAAAACAAUGUACAUUAAUUAAUAGACUUAUGGGACUAAUAACAUCCGUAAAGCUAUAUUACUUCAUGAGUUAUAAUUAUUCACCAAUUAUUGCAGCCACAUUUAAGAAACAAACAAAUGGAGGAAUAACUAUAUACAUAGUUGAACCUAUUGCCUAGAUGACUUCUAAAACACAUUCUCACACUCUUGAUCUCUUUCUGGUUGUUUGUGCCUUUCAAGCGUAUUGGGAGCAUCAUUGCAGAGAUAUGGAACGGACUUCGAAACACUUUCACAGGAAAUUUGGAAUUUUUUCUAUCUUCCUGCAACAAAAAAGCUCUGAAAAUAAUCGAAUCAAGUAAUAAUAAAUAAUCGAUAGUAAUAAAUAAUCGAGCCCCACAAUAUACUUGAAUUUUCUUGAUUUAAAGCUUUAACCGAUGAGGGACUUAAUCAAUGUUUUGUAUCGUGUAGCAUGUUCAAUACAUGUCACAAUCAAC
Condylostylus longicornis is the source of this 502-nucleotide long non-coding RNA. RefSeq lists it as uncharacterized. The record is from RefSeq and is a predicted model, not a curated record. The transcript is spliced from 3 exons. NCBI's taxonomy places the organism in Eukaryota, Metazoa, Arthropoda, Insecta, Diptera, Dolichopodidae.